GAUGAAGAACGUAGCGAAAUGCGAAAAGUAAUGUGAAUUGCAGAAUUCAGUGAAUCAUCGAAUCUUUGAACGCACAUUGCGCCCGCUGGUACUCCGGCGGGCACGCCUGUCCGAGCGUCAUUUCAACCCUCAAGCCCUCCUUCGGGAUGGGCCUGGUGUUGGGGCUCGGCCGCCAUCUCCGGCGGCCGUCCCCUAAAUACAGUGGCGGUCACGUCGCGACUCCUUUGCGUAGUAGAAACACCUCGCUCCGGAUAGCAACGCGGUCCACGCCGUAAAACCCCCAAUUUUCAAUGGUUGACCUCGGAUCAGGUGGGAAUACCCGCUGAACUUAAGCAUACAAUAAGCGGAGGA
Molecule: unclassified non-coding RNA, 351 nt
Filed under: soil metagenome
Description: partial contains 5.8S ribosomal RNA, internal transcribed spacer 2, and large subunit ribosomal RNA
Rfam family: 5.8S ribosomal RNA (bases 1-120)
Source: RNAcentral